GAGGGCAUAGCUCAAGCAGUAAAGUGCAUGCUUAACAAGCAGGAGGUCUUGGGUUCAAUUCCCAGUACCUCCU
Transfer RNA from Camelus ferus (Wild Bactrian camel), 73 nucleotides. It matches the Rfam family "tRNA". Rfam says of the family: Transfer RNA (tRNA) molecules are approximately 80 nucleotides in length. Their secondary structure includes four short double-helical elements and three loops (D, anti-codon, and T loops). Further hydrogen bonds mediate the characteristic L-shaped molecular structure. tRNAs have two regions of fundamental functional importance: the anti-codon, which is responsible for specific mRNA codon recognition, and the 3' end, to which the tRNAs corresponding amino acid is attached (by aminoacyl-tRNA synthetases). tRNAs cope with the degeneracy of the genetic code in two manners: having more than one tRNA (with a specific anti-codon) for a particular amino acid; and 'wobble' base-pairing, i.e. permitting non-standard base-pairing at the 3rd anti-codon position. NCBI's taxonomy places the organism in Eukaryota, Metazoa, Chordata, Mammalia, Artiodactyla, Camelidae. The record is from Rfam.